CUACGGGGGGCUGCAGUGAGGAAUAUUGCACAAUGGGGGGAACCCUGAUGCAGCAACGCCGCGUGGAGGAUGACGCAUUUCGGUGUGUAAACUCCUUUUAUAUGUCAAGAAAAUGACGGUAGCAUAUGGAUAAGCACCGGCUAACUCCGUGCCAGCAGCCGCGGUAAUACGAGAGGGUGCAAGCGUUACUCGGAAUCACUGGGCGUAAAGGACGCGUAGGCGGGUUGGAAAGUCAGGUGUGAAAUCCUACAGCUUAACUGUAGAACUGCACUUGAAACUUCUAAUCUAGAGUAUGGGAGGGGGAGAUGGAAUUAGUGGUGUAGGGGUAAAAUCCGUAGAUAUCACUAGGAAUACCUAAAGCGAAGGCGAUCUCCUGGAACAUUACUGACGCUAAGGCGUGAAAGCGUGGGGAGCAAACAGGAUUAGAUACCCCAGUAGUC
This 440-nucleotide ribosomal RNA is filed under the name uncultured bacterium. RNAcentral describes it as "partial 16S ribosomal RNA". It matches the Rfam family "Bacterial small subunit ribosomal RNA", at positions 339 to 795 of the family's 1533-position model. The record is from RNAcentral.